AACCACUCACGCCUAGCGUGGUAUUGGGGCACGCGGUCUCGCGGCCCUCAAAAUUAGUGGCGGCGCCGGUGGGCUCUAAGCGUAGUACAUACUCCCGCUAUAGAGUUUCCCCGGUGGCUCGCCAGAACCCCCCAAUUUUUUACA
RNAcentral lists this unclassified non-coding RNA (144 nucleotides) under uncultured Leotiomycetes. Its description in RNAcentral is "sequence contains ITS2". The record is from RNAcentral. Lineage: Eukaryota; Fungi; Ascomycota; Leotiomycetes.